RNAcentral lists this ribosomal RNA (312 nucleotides) under Triticum aestivum (bread wheat). RNAcentral's name for it is "partial small subunit ribosomal RNA". Lineage: Eukaryota; Viridiplantae; Streptophyta; Magnoliopsida; Poales; Poaceae. The record is from RNAcentral.
AUGACCGGAAGUAAGGACUUGGUGGUGGACGUGCACAAGGUUCCAUCUAUGCCCACCAAUGUCGAGUGGGGUGACGCCUCAUCUUCUAAGGUAUUGGGACUUGGCAAGGUGGUCAUCUCUCAUGAUCUCACGAUCGAGAAGGUCAUGCUUGUUGAGUCCCUUGCAUACAAUUUACUUUCCGUUCGUCAACUUACUAUCAUGGGCUCUUGUUUGUCAGUCAUCUUCUCCACCAGAUUCACAGCGGAUAGAGCCUACACGAAACUUGCCAUAGUGCAACACAGGAGUGCAUAUGUCUUAAGGAUCUACCAAUGA